CAAAAUUUUGCACAAAAAUGCCACUAUAAGUCUUCUAUAUUCUUAAAAAAAUUCAGCUCAAUCCAACUUACAAAUUGUGAAAAAAAGUCCAAAAACCGCAUUGAUGUUACUUGGUUGCCAGCUUAAAAGUUGAUGUAGAUGUUCCAAUAGCGACCUCUUCUUCUCAAAUUAUAAACUUCAACUCAAAAUUGGUGUGUAGCUUGAUCUUGAA
This 211-nucleotide long non-coding RNA is filed under the name Physcomitrium patens. RNAcentral's name for it is "long non-coding RNA (PPAT_LNC009211)". Lineage: Eukaryota; Viridiplantae; Streptophyta; Bryopsida; Funariales; Funariaceae. The record is from RNAcentral.